RNAcentral lists this ribosomal RNA (434 nucleotides) under uncultured Lachnospiraceae bacterium. Its description in RNAcentral is "bacterial SSU rRNA". It matches the Rfam family "Bacterial small subunit ribosomal RNA", at positions 341 to 792 of the family's 1533-position model. Lineage: Bacteria; Bacillati; Bacillota; Clostridia; Lachnospirales; Lachnospiraceae. The record is from RNAcentral.
ACGGAAGGCAGCAGUGGGGAAUAUUGCACAAUGGGGGAAACCCUGAUGCAGCGACGCCGCGUGAAGGAAGAAGUAUCUCGGUAUGUAAACUUCUAUCAGCAGGGAAGAAAAUGACGGUACCUGACUAAGAAGCCCCGGCUAACUACGUGCCAGCAGCCGCGGUAAUACGUAGGGGGCAAGCGUUAUCCGGAUUUACUGGGUGUAAAGGGAGCGUAGACGGUUUGGCAAGUCUGAAGUGAAAUGCGGGGGCUCAACUCCUGAACUGCUUUGGAAACUGUCGAACUAGAGUGCAGGAGAGGUAAGUGGAAUUCCUAGUGUAGCGGUGAAAUGCGUAGAUAUUAGGAGGAACACCAGUGGCGAAGGCGGCUUACUGGACUGUAACUGACGUUGAGGCUCGAAAGCGUGGGGAGCAAACAGGAUUAGAUACCCUGGUA